GAUGAACGCUGGCGGUAUGCUUAACACAUGCAAGUCGAACGGUCACUUCGGUGAUAGUGGCGGACGGGUGAGUAACGCGUGAGAAUCUGUCUUCAGGUCGGGGACAACAGUUAGAAAUGACUGCUAAUGCCGGAUGUGCCUUUGGGUGAAAGAUUUAUUGACUGAAAAAGAGCUCGCGUCAGAUUAGCUAGUAGGUGUUGUAAGAGACUACCUAGGCUCCGAUCUGUAGCUGGUCUGAGAGGACGAUCAGCCACACUGGAACUGAGACACGGUCCAGACUCCUACGGGAGGCAGCAGUGGGGAAUUGUCCGCAAUGGGCGAAAGCCUGACGGAGCAAUACCGCGUGAGGGACGAAGGUUUUUGGGUCGUAAACCUCUUUUCUCAAGGAAGAUGAUGACGGUACUUGAGGAAUAAGCAUCGGCUAACUCUGUG
Molecule: ribosomal RNA, 432 nt
Filed under: uncultured bacterium
Lineage: Bacteria
Description: partial 16S ribosomal RNA
Rfam family: Bacterial small subunit ribosomal RNA
Source: RNAcentral